CGGCAGCAGUCGUUGCAACCAAAGCACCCCACGGUCGUCCUAGGACUAAACCGGCACUCCGUCCCGUUAUGUAAAUUAUAGAGUAAAUUAUGAGUAAUUAUAAUUAAUUAUAAGCUCUGCUGAUUUCUUCUGCCGAGGCCUUAUCUUCGACUCCCUUCGCUGAGCCGCUUUUUUGACUCAACCGAAGACAACAAAAGGGAUUCGACGACGCAGUCCCGGAAGGGGCUCUUCUGCAUUUCCGGCCCGGAUUUGUUACGUCAACAGCCACCAAUGCUAUAAGAAGUGGACUACCCCUCGGCAUCGACAGUGGGCACGGCGAAAGCGCUGGGAGCAUGUGGCUUACGGCCUCUCGUUUCUUCGUCGUGCAGGCCACGUGCGUCGCUGGUCACCUUCUUCUGCCGAAACUUCCAUUUUUCGAGUUGCCGUCGCACUCCACCAUAUCGAAACCUCCGCAACACUUUCCGGAAAGCAGUUCGAUCAUGGCACUUCUCCGCGAUUAUGACGUCGUCAAAGUACAGUUGGAUUCCCGAAAUUCCCAGCAAGAGUGUUUCCAUACGCUGCUGGAAAAAAGAUGUUGCCCAGGAAAGCACCAAGGGAGGCUGCUGAGCCAUACAAGGCCUUUCGGCGUGAAAUGUGUUGUUAUCAUACAGCCAUCGCCGUGCCAUCAUUGUCAUGGCCGACUCUAGUGACCAAGUAUCGCAGAAAGAGUGGCAAUCGCUGAGACGCUUUAUGUCGCAUGUAGGGGAAGCAAUGGAAAUUUGAGAAUCACCACUA
Long non-coding RNA from Dermacentor albipictus, 774 nucleotides. RefSeq lists it as uncharacterized. The record is from RefSeq and is a predicted model, not a curated record. Lineage: Eukaryota; Metazoa; Arthropoda; Arachnida; Ixodida; Ixodidae.